AACUUACAGCAGUGUAAAACUUAGGCGAGUGAAAAGAGAAUUAACCAUUUCCUCUUCUUUCAGAGGCUUCUGUGGUUCUGAGGGCUGUCCACGUGGUGAGGAACUGAAGGGCGAAUGCUUAUCCCUUUCUCAUCUUCUUCCCAAGAUACCUUCUCCUUGUGUAGAAACGUUGAGCCCAAGGAUUGGGAAUGCUGAAAUUACUAUUAAGUAUGACUUGAGAAUUCAAGUUUGGAAGAGAUCACAUGGCUGGAACAGCUAGGCAAAGAAAGCCAAGGGUGAGAGAAAUUCCCUGGCUUGUUUCCCCUGCUGUCUGUAUAUCCUCCUAGCAGCCAGAGAAGAGCGUUGCUUUGAUUUGGGAGUCCAUUACACCAUGAUAACAAGAUUGCUUCAAGGAACAUGUUCUGAGCAGUUACAUGAAAUUCUGAACUGGAUUUCAAAGAGUACACGUGAUUCAGUUCACACCACAGUGCUACAACAUUCUGCUGCAAAGGACUCCUCAGCAGAUACAAUACAGUACUUUCAGCACGAAGAUGAGAAUCCUUGACACAUCCAGAAGCUGGCAUUAGUCUUCUGGUGACAAUGCAGUUUCAGAUUUCUCCCUGGUUGUGGCAUUGUCAACAACGAGAAUGUCGGUAUUUUCUAACGAACAGAGGCAGCUCUGUGUAAACUGGGUAGCUGUAUUUUGAUACCUGUGAAAUAGCAGCACAGAACUCAGGUGCAAUUUUCU
Molecule: long non-coding RNA, 727 nt
Filed under: Numida meleagris (helmeted guineafowl)
Lineage: Eukaryota; Metazoa; Chordata; Aves; Galliformes; Numididae
Description: lncRNA (ENSNMEG00000023003.1)
Source: RNAcentral